Molecule: non-coding RNA, 268 nt
Organism: Pelobates cultripes (western spadefoot toad)
Lineage: Eukaryota; Metazoa; Chordata; Amphibia; Anura; Pelobatidae
Source: the annotation of a GenBank genome assembly
GAAGGGGUGACUAGUGACAGAGUGAGGGAGGGAAGAGGUGACUAGUGACAGAGUGAGGGAGGUGGUGAUUAGUGACAGAGGGAGGGAUGGGGUGACUAGUGACAGUCACCCCCUCCCUCACUCUGUCACUAGUCACUACCCUCUGUCACUAGUCAUCCCCUCACUCUGUCACCAGUCAUCCCCUCACUCUGUCACUAGUCACCUCUUUCCUCCCUCACUCUGCCACUAGUCAUCCAUUCCCUAACUCUGUCACUAGUCACCCCCUCUC